GCGCAGAUAUAAAGCACACGAUGCUCAGAGCAGAGAGAAGGGUUACGACGUGGGGGUCGGUGUGUCGAAGGGGUCGCGGUUGUUGGAAAGAGGGGGAGCGAACGCGCAAAGGUGGCGUCGGCGUCGCGACGCCCGGAGAGAGUCAGUCACCAGCCGACCUCAACGCGCCGCGUAACCUCGCUCGUCGACCCAGAAACCUAGCGCUGCUUCUCUAUCUCGCGCUGAACCGGAAACGGGGGCUGUCGCGGCACCGGAAACGUGGCAUCGUGGCCGUCUCCACGGAAAAAUCGUCGAUUGAAUCUUAUCGUUUUUCUUGAGAGAGAAAAAAAGAGCGUGAUCGCGUCGUGCGCGGAAAACGAGGGAAUCCAGAGUGCUCGAAAGAAAACGAUUGUUUCACUCCAUUUUAGUGGCAAAUUAUAGGCAAAUUAAAAGUGUGUUUGAGAAAGUUUGGAAUCGAUGCGAAGUUUAGAAUUUUUCAUUCUUGUUAUUCAGUUGUUAUUCGUUUAGACAUUGCCGUGGAGCACUUGAUAGGAGACUCGGUUUCCCGCGCGCGACUCAUCCCACCACGAAGAUGCCGGUUCGUUCGGGCUCGAAUGUGAGAGACAGGACAUUUUUGUGAGAAAAAGUGUUGAGUGAAAAGUAGUUGACUUUGCUAGAGACCGGCAAUAAAGUGGAAGGUUUUGUGAAGCAGAGGAUGAUAAAGUAAAGGAUUUUUUAAGAUAAAAGGAUAAUGGAAGGAAAAGUGUUCAGUACAGUGCAUUGAACAGUGUUCGAUCGAAGGGAGGAUUUAAAGAUGCACAUCUGGUUAGUUGUUGAGGGUUGAAAAUUAUAAAGCAUUUUUAUCUCAAAUCAGAUAAUUUUGAGAGACAAAGAUAAUAAAGAAUACCAGUGUUCUUUUAAUAACAGUAUGUAUUUAUAGAGGGGUUUGUCGGUGUACAGCAAGUUUAUGAUUGGGAAUUGUAAAUUGUAAAACAUUUUGGUUCAAACGAAUUGAACUUAUGACAGUACGUGUUUUAAUAAAAUACAGGAUUUUUUAAAGAAAAAGAAUAAUAAAGAAAAGGUAAUGUUCUUUAAAGGAAGUAAUAAAAGUAGAAGUGUGUUGGUAGAGGGAAAACGUUGAAAGACAGUAUAUACUAUAUGGGAGACAGAGAAGUGGAAGUUGUUAAAAAGCAUUUGAGCCGAAAAGUAGGAUUGGCAGAAUUGUGUCAACUGGACAUUUGGAAAAUAUUGUUUUGAUGUUGCGAUGAUAUGUAACGUUAUUAGCAAUUUUACAAUAACAGCGCGUUAAUUUGGAUGGUACUUUUCAACUUUGUUAAAUAAAAGUUAAUAUUGGUAAAAAAAUAUUAUCUCACGUGUUUUGGGAGAAACUGAGCUAGAAUAUAUUGAAAAAAGAUAAAAUUUAAGGACAGCAGUUUUUGGAAGAAUUUUGACGACAUAUUAUUAAAAUUAGCUAACAAAAGUAUAUGCCAAGACAAAUAAUCGUGUAUAAUAAACUGUAUGCUAUUAUAUUAGAUUAAAUACUACCCAAUGUGUUCCAAAGAAAACGUAGAUUACCAAGAUCUAGUGCAUUAAAUGUUAACUGAAAUAAAUUGUAGAAUUCAUGAAAUAGUGACAAACAUUUCUUAAAGAAGGAAGAGAAGAACCGAAUUCUUAAAUAUUAAAAAUUUAGAAGACUGAGAUCCCAUGAAACUCUGUCCCCAACGAAAAACUAUUGUAUCGUGACAUUCUGCUAAAAAUUAGCGAGCUGAGGUCUAAUCUAAUAUUCUCAAAAGAAGUGGAAGAAAACCAACACUCCAGGGGAGAUUAACGUUUCAUGGUGUACUUACUGGGUAGAAAAUUGUCGUAUCUAAUAAUCCUUCCAAAAGACGAAGAAAGGACCUGUUUUAUAAAAAUAGAAAAGAGAGACUUGAAAACGAAUUUUCUCGUUUCUGAUGAAAGAGAAGUAAUGGUUAUAGAAUUUCAAAAAUAAAUAAGUAAAAUUAAGUGAGUGAAGAACAAUUUGAUAUAAUUCAGUUUAACGAGCAAAAGAACAUCCACACAUGACUAAAAGAAAUAUCUAUCUAUCCCUAAACGAACUGACAAAAAAAGUAACACCCUCGAUCCACCAAAUAAUCCAAUUCCAAGAAAUUAGAUCUCGGGCAAUUCCUUCGUGACCAAA
This is a long non-coding RNA of Bombus impatiens (common eastern bumble bee), 2158 nucleotides long. RefSeq lists it as uncharacterized. NCBI's taxonomy places the organism in Eukaryota, Metazoa, Arthropoda, Insecta, Hymenoptera, Apidae. The transcript has 2 exons. The record is from RefSeq and is a predicted model, not a curated record.